UACGUAGGGGGCAAGCGUUGUCCGGAAUCAUUGGGCGUAAAGGGCGCGUAGGCGGCUCCGCGAGUCGGGGGUGAAAUCGUUCAGCUUAACUGGACAAGGGCCUCCGAGACCGCGGGACUCGAGGGGGAUAGGGGUGCGCGGAACUUCCGGUGGAGCGGUGAAAUGCGUAGAUAUCGGAAGGAACGCCGGUGGCGAAAGCGGCGCACUGGAUCCCUACUGACGCUGAGGCGCGAAAGCCAGGGGAGCAAACGGG
RNAcentral lists this ribosomal RNA (253 nucleotides) under uncultured bacterium. RNAcentral describes it as "partial 16S ribosomal RNA". It matches the Rfam family "Bacterial small subunit ribosomal RNA", at positions 524 to 776 of the family's 1533-position model. The record is from RNAcentral.